GCAGAGCCCCUAAGAGGAAGACGUGCCUUCCAAGUGUUACAAAGAAUAAAAAUAAAUUUUCAUGAAAAAGAACAUUGUGUUAUUUGUUUAAUAACCUAAAUUCUGUAUUAUAAAUUGGUUACGGCUUCUUCUGCUAAUAUUGGAUAUCUCAGAAGGUGUCAAGACCUCAUCCAUAGCUCCACUGUUGUAUAUUUUCCAACAACGAAUCGAAUGGAAUGCACAAGAAGAACAAAAGAUGUUAUCUCUCUACAUAAUUUGAAGGUGUCGUAGUUGAAAUUCUUCGUUUUUGAAGAAGCAUGAUUUUAAACUGAUAAUUCAAAAGAAUGCUUAUGACGCCUGUCAGAUUGUUGCUCGUAGCCACGAAAUCUUAAUGAAUUGAGGAAGAAUUUAGAAGCUGAUUCUGAGGCUGAGUCAUAAGGUUACUGCUGCAUAUUUGUUGAAGGAUCGAAACGGUUCUACGAAGCGAGAAGUCGUAUUUAUCGAGCUUCUUUUAUUAAUAUACACUUAAAAAAUGGCUUCCAACAAGUAUAAAAAGCAAAGUACAGCUUGCUUCCAUUUUAUCGGUACGUUUGAUAAUGAAGGCCUCAAUCAAGUUGAUUGUAAUAAAUACCAAUUGCACUGUGAACAGUAACAAAACUUUAGCCCUAAUCGCUCACACUUCGCUUGAAUCACACAACAAAAAUUCAUGACUCUUCAAUUGAUGUAGGUAUUAACACUGUGUGGUGACAUUGUGGAAGGCAAUAGGAAAAAUAUAUGUAACGAAUUAUAAUGCACUCAAAUCAUAUUUAUUAUGUAAUUCAAGGUUACAUCGACCUACAACUAAAUACUAUGUUUCUUAAGUACUAAGAAAAAUGUUUAACAUUUAUGUACGUCAAGCGAUAACUGAAAACUUUCCUCUAACAAUUUUUUAGUCAAACGGUUUGCGUUUUUAAUUUUUUUUUGACCAAACCAAAGACUCAGUUCUCAAAGGUGUUUGAC
This is a long non-coding RNA of Venturia canescens, 978 nucleotides long. RefSeq lists it as uncharacterized. Lineage: Eukaryota; Metazoa; Arthropoda; Insecta; Hymenoptera; Ichneumonidae. The transcript has 2 exons. The record is from RefSeq and is a predicted model, not a curated record.